AAAAUUAUGUUUUCAAGAAUCGUUUUUAUAGUGUGGUAGCAGAGGAGUGUGUCUGAACGUGUAGAGCAGUGGAAAUCACGAGAGAGAGAGAUAUUUGUGUUUUUUCAUGAGUAUGACAGUAGCGUUUGGUGUUGCGUUGUUUUAACUGCUAUUUGCUGUUGGUGACUGUUUUUCUCUAGAGAAUAUAGUCUGAGUAGU
This 198-nucleotide small nucleolar RNA is filed under the name Gorilla gorilla gorilla (western lowland gorilla). RNAcentral's name for it is "Small nucleolar RNA U3". It matches the Rfam family "Small nucleolar RNA U3". From Rfam's summary of the family: Small nucleolar RNAs (snoRNAs) are involved in the processing and modification of rRNA in the nucleolus. There are two main classes of snoRNAs: the box C/D class, and the box H/ACA class. The record is from Rfam by way of RNAcentral. Lineage: Eukaryota; Metazoa; Chordata; Mammalia; Primates; Hominidae.